Molecule: ribosomal RNA, 1368 nt
Filed under: Triticum aestivum (bread wheat)
Lineage: Eukaryota; Viridiplantae; Streptophyta; Magnoliopsida; Poales; Poaceae
Description: partial small subunit ribosomal RNA
Source: RNAcentral
AUGGCGAAGGGUCACGUGCUGGUGCUGCCCAUGCCGUGCCAGGGCCACGUCGUCCCGCUCAUGGAGCUCUCGCACCGCCUCGUCGACCACGGCUUCGAGGUCACCUUCGUCAACACCGAGGUGGACCACGCGCUCGUGCUCGCCGCCAUGGCGCCGGACGACGGCGCCGCGCUGCGCGGCAUCCACCUCGCCUCCAUCCCGGACGGGCUGGCCGACGACGAGGACCGCAAGGACCUCAACAAGCUCGUCGACGCCUACCCGCGGCACAUGCCGGCCUACCUGGAGGCGCUGGUCGGGGAAAUGGAGGCGGCCGGGAGGCCCAGGGUGAAGUGGCUCGUCGCCGACUUCAACAUGGGCUGGUCGUUCGAGGUCGCCAAGAGGCUCGGCAUCCGGGUCGCCUCCUUCUGGCCGGCGUCCGCGGCGUGCCUCGCUAUCAUGCUCAAGAUCCCCGAGCUGAUAGAGCAAGGCGUUCUCAACGACAAGGGAUGGCCGGAGCGGCAGGAGACGCUGCGGCUCGCCCCGGGGAUGCCACCGCUCCACACGUCGCUCCUGCCGUGGAACAACGCCGGCGCCCCCGACGGACAGCACAUCAUAUUCCAGCUCGUGUGCCGGAACAACAAGUUCAGCGCCCACGCCGAGAUGACCGUGUGCAACUCGUUCCACGACGCCGAGGCCGGCGCGUUCAAGCUCUUCCCCAACAUCCUCCCCAUCGGCCCGCUCUUCGCCGACAAGGGGUUCCAGAGGUCCGUCGGCAGCUUCUUGGCGGAGGACACGAGCUGCCUCAAAUGGCUGGACGCGCGACCUGACGGCUCCGUCGUGUACGUGGCCUUCGGGAGCAUGGCCAUCUUCGACCCGCGCCAGUUCGAGGAGCUGGCCGAGGGGCUGGAGCUCACCGGCCGGCCGUUCCUGUGGGUAGUGCGCCCGGACUUCACCGCCGGCCUGAGCAAGGACUGGCUCGACGAGUUCCAGCAGCGCGUCGCCGGCACCGGCAUGAUCGUCAGCUGGUGCUCUCAGCAGCAGGUCCUUGCGCACCAAGCGGUGGCGUGCUUCGUGUCGCACUGCGGGUGGAACUCGACCAUGGAGGCGGUGAGAAAUGGCGUGGCGGUCCUGUGCUGGCCCUACUUCUGCGAGCAGUUCCUGGACCGGAGCUACAUCACCGACGUGUGGAGGACCGGCCUCGCCGUGUCCGCCGGCGAGGAUGGUGUUGUGACGAAAGAGGAGGUGAGGUGCAAGCUGGAAAGUGUCAUCGGCGACGCGGACUUCAGGAAGUGGGCUCGGCGGCUAAAGGACACCUCCUGGAGGUGCAUCAGCGAGGGCGGCUCCUCACACAAGAAUUUCGCUAGAUUUGUGGACCUUCUAAGUGAAUGA